Long non-coding RNA from Photinus pyralis (common eastern firefly), 1956 nucleotides. RefSeq lists it as uncharacterized. NCBI's taxonomy places the organism in Eukaryota, Metazoa, Arthropoda, Insecta, Coleoptera, Lampyridae. The record is from RefSeq and is a predicted model, not a curated record. The transcript is spliced from 3 exons.
AAAUUACUGCCCUACAAAAAUAUACUUUCAGAUUACCAAUAAACGAUGCUUACUGAUGUGUUGAUGGUAUCCCCCCACGGAAAAUACAUCUGUAUAGUUACACGUCUCUGUCAAAAUUUAUAAUAAUGGAAGAGUUGUCACAGGAAUCGAUUAGUGACGAGACGAUCGUGACCUUUUCGACCUUAUAACCUUCGAAGUUGACGAGGCGAUAACUUAGAUCGGUAAUAAGCUUAGAUGGGACGAAACGAGACGUAUCUUUGUAAUGUUUAUGAUAUAACUGGUAGAUGAUCAUGUCGACUAGUUGUAACAUUAUACGUUGGUGAAGCGAGUAGCAACUUAUCAUUUCCAUCAACACUUUGUUGGACUUAUACGCAGCGUGCUGCGAUGGACAUGAACUUUAUGGCAAAACAAAUUUACGGACCUCGCUCGAUUUUUCCUCUUCUCGUCGCAGUUCGCUAUAAAGAUGUGGAAAAGGUCUUCGCGCGGUGGCGGGGACGAGGCAAUAAACGUCACAGAGAUACGACCACACGCAAGAAUAGAUAAAAGUAUAUCUUCGGUACGACGACAACAACAACCAUCCAAAGUACCCUGCAGCAUUGCGAAAUUCGCCCUUGCUACGAACAGCAAACUUCCAUUUGCUCGAAUUAUAAAUUCUGACAAUCCCGGUAGCGUUACCGAUUCCUGUCAAAUAAAUUACCGAAAAGCCCGACCGUGAAAUCGUGCGAAAGCUCUUUCGGGCCAGGGCCGUUUGCUGCAGUACAAAUCAAUUUCGUAAAAAGCUCCCCAAUCGUAAACGAUCCACGAUGUUAUCGCUAACAAGUGUGAGUGAAGCACGGCCACCCAUGAUUGCGGCAAGAAAUUAGUAAUCGAGUGGGGGAGUGAAAAAGAUAACGGACGAAAAGGACGAAACCGGUGGGUUUGUGACAGAGAUGAAAGAAAUCCUUCUCUUAAUCGGGUAAAUCUUCGAAUGUCUUGUUUAAUUUAUCGGUCGUGUUCUCGCGACAUCCGACUAAUUGGGGACAUAUUACAGAUUCAGGUAAAUUCCCACCGCAAAAACAAUAAUCAUAGUGAUGAGCUGAAUGGGCACAUUUCUGAAACAGUGUGAUGCCGGUCCAUUAAUUGGAAUUGAGGGUUCGAGAGGGUACGCCUGAAGCCGUUCCACUAAAUGCCCUUAUUGUUACCGAGUCUAGUUGUGUUUGAUUAUAUGAUUAUCGACGGCAGGUGUUCGAAUUCCAAUCGCAUACUAUUCGUGAUUGAUUGAUUUUUUAUUCUUAUUGUUGUAUCUAUUCUUGCAUUUAAAGGUGUUAAUAUUGCUUGAUGUCAUUAAUCUUCAAAAUUUCUAGCGGUGAUGAUUAAGUUUUUGUCUUCCUUUCUCUCAAUUUUAUAAAUGCCUUUCGGUUUACAGACAGCUGCAAGAAGAGCGGAACGUGCUAGAUGGACCACGACAAUUUAAAUACCGCGAUUCGAUAUCAAUCGACAUUCUUUGAACGGCAUGAAAACAAAGUUAGUAGGUACCAACCAGGGAUCCAUGGUAGUUGAUCCUUAUCAGAAGAAUUUUACCAUCUCCAAAAUGUUACUUCGUAAAGUUGACUAUUUAAUCAAGCAUGUUUUUCCCAAACUGUAAGGACGCUAAUGGCGAGAAUUUCAUGAUUAAUAACAAAAAAAGUUGGAGAGAGUACCUAUGCGUUACCACGCAUGUGUUACUUGAAGAAUGAAAUAUUCCGUGGUUAUACCUAUUUCAACAUGGAUAUAUUGACUAGAUGCUUAUAAAAUGACGAAAGAAAUUUCGCAAAGCAUAAACCUGCUGAGAGGGAUUCAUUUGACACUUUCAUUCUCUGGAUUUUGUCGUUCGAGGCAAAUUUUGUUCCAAGAAUGCAACGUCAGGUAUUUCAGCAAUCAAAAUCAAUACCAUCUUAGUUUAAAUCCUACUCCUAAAGGCAAGCACUCAGUGAGAAG